Molecule: long non-coding RNA, 771 nt
Organism: Haliotis rubra (blacklip abalone)
Lineage: Eukaryota; Metazoa; Mollusca; Gastropoda; Lepetellida; Haliotidae
Exons: 3
Source: RefSeq, a predicted model, not a curated record
UGAUACCGGAGUAAGUCUGUAUGUAAGUUUUACGUGAUAUAGUAAAUCUCAGUCUAUCCACUACUGAUACCGGAGUAAGUGUGUAUGCAAUUUUUACGUGAUAUAGUAAAUCUCAGUCUAUCCACUAUUGAAACUGGAGUAAGUCUUGCAUGUAAUCUUUACCUACUUUAGUCAAUCAUAGUCUAUCCAUCACUGACAUGAAAGUAUAUUGUUGCAAAAUCAAUGCAGCCAAGCCGGACGUGAUUCUUUCAUUACAAGGGAUGCAAUAUAGAGGAUCCUCACCUUUAAGCAAAUACUCAUGUGUAUAUCUUGAAAGGUCAAUACCACAACGUCGAAUGAUGACCUCCUCAAAUCUGCACUGACAACCCAGGUAAGUAUAGCCAAUGUAGGGUUUUAUGUCAUGUAAUGUAUUAAUACCAUCGGGCGUCCCGCUUCUUCUGCAUCAGAUCACGGAUGUCAGAUCUAAUAACAGCGUUGUAAUCGGAGUAUGGAAUAUGAAGUGGUGUCACAGAUAUGAUGAGUGCUGCCCCAGCAGAAUGAUUGGCCACUGUGUUACAAGAAACGCCAACGUGGCUUGGUAACGAAAUAAAAACGAUGACGUUUAGGCCAAUAGCGAGAUCAUUAUAUAAUCCAAGCCUGAUAACAUUUUCAAUGCUCACGAAACUGGCCUCUUCUACAAAAUGAAACCAAACAGAACUCUUCACUUUAAAUCUGAAAAAUGCAGUGGGGGUAAAAAUUCUAAAGCGAGAAUAACAUUUAUAAGACAUAGAG